AGCAGCCGCGGUAAUUCCAGCUCCAAUAGCGUAUAUUAAAGUUGUUGCAGUUAAAAAGCUCGUAGUUGAAUUUCGGGGUUAGCAGGUCGGUCGUGCCAUCGGUAUGAACUGGUCUCGCUGAUCCCUCCCUCUUGACGAACUGUGAUGCCAUUAAUUUGGUGUCGCAGGGAAUCAGGACUGUUACUUUGAAAAAUUAGAGUGUUUAAAGCAGGCUCACGCUUGAAUACAUUAGCAUGGAAUAAUGAAAUAGGACGUUUGAUCCUAUUUUGUUGGCUUCUAGGAUUGACGUAAUGAUUAAUAGGGAUAGUUGGGGGCAUUAGUAUUCAAUUGUCAGAGGUGAAAUUCUUGGAUUUAUUGAAGACUAACUACUGCGAAAGCAUUUGCCAAGGAUGUUUUCAUUAAUCAAGAACGAAAGUUAGGGGAUCGAAGACGAUCAGAUACCGUCGUAGUCUUAACCAUAAACUAUGCCGACUAGGGAUCGGGAUGAUGUUAAUUUUUUAAUGACUU
This 507-nucleotide unclassified non-coding RNA is filed under the name uncultured Glomus. RNAcentral's name for it is "SSU rRNA". It matches the Rfam family "Eukaryotic small subunit ribosomal RNA", at positions 569 to 1081 of the family's 1831-position model. Lineage: Eukaryota; Fungi; Glomeromycota; Glomeromycetes; Glomerales; Glomeraceae. The record is from RNAcentral.